RNAcentral lists this ribosomal RNA (305 nucleotides) under uncultured bacterium. RNAcentral describes it as "bacterial SSU rRNA". It matches the Rfam family "Bacterial small subunit ribosomal RNA", at positions 333 to 655 of the family's 1533-position model. The record is from RNAcentral.
GGUAUCCUACGGGGGGCAGCAGUGGGGGAUAUUGCACAAUGGGGGCAACCCUGAUGCAGCGACGCCGCGUGAGCGAUGGAGUACUUCGGUAUGUAAAGCUCUGUCAGCAGGGAAGAGAAUGACGGUACCUGACCAAGAAGCCCCGGCUAAAUACGUGCCAGCAGCCGCGGUAAUACGUAUGGGGCAAGCGUUAUCCGGAUUUACUGGGUGUAAAGGGAGCGUAGACGGCAUGGCAAGUCUGGAGUGAAAGCCCGGGGCCCAACCCCGGGACUGCUCUGGAAACUGCCAUGCUAGAGGGCUGGCGG